RNAcentral lists this long non-coding RNA (1309 nucleotides) under Anas platyrhynchos platyrhynchos (common mallard). RNAcentral describes it as "lncRNA (ENSAPLG00000023525.1)". Lineage: Eukaryota; Metazoa; Chordata; Aves; Anseriformes; Anatidae. The record is from RNAcentral.
AUGGAAUUCAGGUUACUUUCUCCUAUGCUCCCUUUGUCUUCCUUGUGCAUUUUGGCUGGAGUUGCUCAUACUUCUUUCAUGUUCUUUGCCUUUCCAUUUGCUCCUAUUCAUUUUGCAGAAGAGGAGGAUGUCUGUCCCCCCUUCCCCUGCAUAGCUCCCUAUCAGAAAGUGCAGAAGAAUAUUCCCACCUGUUCCUUGUCACUCCGUAAUCCUGACCCUUCAAGGUUCACAGAACUACAGUCCUUGCAGUGGUUUGAGACAUCUGAGCCUAUUUUUUGUGUGGAAUAUACUGCAAAAAUGUUUUGUUAACAGCAUUUCAGGCUAGGCUGGUAGUCUAAAGAAUCAGCUUCAAACAAUGGAUAGGAGAUCAUUAUUUAACAAUGCACACGUGUAUGGAAACAGGGCAAAAUGCUUAUCCGCAGAUGUUCACAAAUGUGUAGAGAUGGCACCCAGUACAUUACGUGAGCUGUGAAAUGAGCUAGAGAAAGAUUUCCCUCAUUCACUGAUAGUGUAACAGUGUGUCAAACCAUACUUACAGCAGGUUAAAUCAGAUAGUUAUGUAUGGUUAGUUAUUCUCAGUUGUUUACUAUUUCAUCCUCUAUCACUUAAAGCUUCUCAGUCUCCCAGUGUUGUCCUUCUGCUUCAUACAUGCCUCACAUCUUCCUCUGCCACAAUCCCCUCCAGUUUGCCAGUGGCAUCAGCUUUGACGUGUCAUUUGUCAUCGUCUCCCAAAUAUCACCUUUGCCUUGCCCUACACUGCUCCUAUCCACGUGGCCUCUGCCUGUUUUUCAAAGAUGUUCCUCCAUGCUUAUGGGCUGAUAAUGACAAGGGUGAAGGUAAGCCAUGACUGGUGAAAUACUUUUAUUUUUUAUUUAAAUUCACACUUCAUUAUGUCACUAAGACCAUGCAUUAUCUGGAGCAGAGGCAGUCAUCAUAUAAUUUCACGUUUGCUUUUCCUUUUCUCAGCCCUGCACUUCCUUGUCUGUCUGUCUGCACUUUCAAGUGUGCCAGAUCUCUGGAAGCAGCCGCAGUGCAACACACGGGUUCCAGUCUAGCAAAGUACUUGACCAUAUGACUAACUUAAAGCAUCUAUUAAGACAUAUGCUUAUGUGCUUUGAUGAAUGCUUUGCCAAGCAACUUCUGUGUCUUGCUGGGAAAAAAAUAUAAUGAUAAUAUGCCAAGAAUUUGAAAUGACUAUGAGACAGUCAUUAAUGAAUACGCCGACAUGGAAUAUUUGCUUUUCCAAAUAGGCUUUUGCUAUGCCUUCUCCUUUGUGCGUGGAAUUUCAGAGCAAGGAUUGAGUUAUUUA